Molecule: ribosomal RNA, 252 nt
Filed under: Bacillus sonorensis
Lineage: Bacteria; Bacillati; Bacillota; Bacilli; Caryophanales; Bacillaceae
Description: partial 16S ribosomal RNA
Rfam family: Bacterial small subunit ribosomal RNA
Source: RNAcentral
UUCAUGGAGAGUUUGAUCCUGGCUCAGGACGAACGCUGGCGGCGUGCCUAAUACAUGCAAGUCGAGCGAACCGGCGGGAGCUUGCUCCCUUAGGUUAGCGGCGGACGGGUGAGUAACACGUGGGUAACCUGCCUGUAAGACUGGGAUAACUCCGGGAAACCGGGGCUAAUACCGGAUGCUUGAUUGAACCGCAUGGUUCAAUUAUAAAAGGUGGCUUUUAGCUACCACUUACAGAUGGACCCGCGGCGCAUU